RNAcentral lists this ribosomal RNA (505 nucleotides) under uncultured bacterium. RNAcentral's name for it is "partial 16S ribosomal RNA". It matches the Rfam family "Bacterial small subunit ribosomal RNA", at positions 28 to 507 of the family's 1533-position model. The record is from RNAcentral.
GACGAACGCUGGCGGCGUGCCUAAUACAUGCAAGUAGAACGCACAGUUUAUACCGUAGCUUGCUACACCAUAGACUGUGAGUUGCGAACGGGUGAGUAACGCGUAGGUAACCUGCCUGGUAGCGGGGGAUAACUAUUGGAAACGAUAGCUAAUACCGCAUAAUAUUGAUUAUUGCAUGACAAUUAAUUGAAAGGUGCAAUUGCACCACUACCAGAUGGACCUGCGUUGUAUUAGCUAGUAGGUGAGGUAACGGCUCACCUAGGCGACGAUACAUAGCCGACCUGGGAGGGUGAUCGGCCACACUGGGACUGGGACACGGCCCAGACUCCUACGGGAGGCAGCAGUAGGGAAUCUUCGGCAAUGGACGAAAGUCUGACCGAGCAACGCCGCGUGAGUUAAGAAGGUUUUCGGAUCGUAAAGCUCUGUUGUAAGAGAAGAACGGGUGUGAGAGUGGAAAGUUCACACUGUGACGGUAUCUUACCAGAAAGGGACGGCUAACUACGUG